Molecule: ribosomal RNA, 492 nt
Filed under: uncultured bacterium
Lineage: Bacteria
Description: partial 16S ribosomal RNA
Rfam family: Bacterial small subunit ribosomal RNA
Source: RNAcentral
AGUGAACGCUGGCGGCAGGCCUAACACAUGCAAGUCGAACGGCAGCACAGUAAGAGCUUGCUCUUACGGGUGGCGAGUGGCGGACGGGUGAGGAAUACAUCGGAAUCUACUUUUUCGUGGGGGAUAACGUAGGGAAACUUACGCUAAUACCGCAUACGACCUACGGGUGAAAGCAGGGGAUCUUCGGACCUUGCGCGAUUGAAUGAGCCGAUGUCGGAUUAGCUAGUUGGCGGGGUAAAGGCCCACCAAGGCGACGAUCCGUAGCUGGUCUGAGAGGAUGAUCAGCCACACUGGAACUGAGACACGGUCCAGACUCCUACGGGAGGCAGCAGUGGGGAAUGUUGGACAAUGGGCGCAAGCCUGAUCCAGCCAUACCGCGUGUGUGAAGAAGGCCUUCGGGUUGUAAAGCCCUUUUGUUGGGAAAGAAAAGCAGCAGGUUAAUACCCCGCUGUUCUGACGGUACCCGAAGAAUAAGCACCGGCUAACUUCGUG